AUUGAACGCUGGCGGCAGGCCUAACACAUGCAAGUCGAGCGGCAGCGGGAAAGUAGCUUGCUACUUUUGCCGGCGAGCGGCGGACGGGUGAGUAAUGCCUGGGAAAUUGCUCAGUCGAGGGGGAUAACAGUUGGAAACGACUGCUAAUACCGCAUACGCCCUACGGGGGAAAGCAGGGGACCUUCGGGCCUUGCGCGAUUGGAUAUGCCCAGGUGGGAUUAGCUAGUUGGUGAGGUAAUGGCUCACCAAGGCGACGAUCCCUAGCUGGUCUGAGAGGAUGAUCAGCCACACUGGAACUGAGACACGGUCCAGACUCCUACGGGAGGCAGCAGUGGGGAAUAUUGCACAAUGGGGGAAACCCUGAUGCAGCCAUGCCGCGUGUGUGAAGAAGGCCUUCGGGUUGUAAAGCACUUUCAGCGAGGAGGAAAGGUUGAUGCCUAAUACGUAUCAACUGUGACGUUACUCGCAGAAGAAGCACCGGCUAACUCCGUGCCAGCCGCCGCCGUAA
Molecule: ribosomal RNA, 508 nt
Filed under: uncultured bacterium
Lineage: Bacteria
Description: partial 16S ribosomal RNA
Rfam family: Bacterial small subunit ribosomal RNA
Source: RNAcentral